CAGCCGCCGCGGUAAAACCAGCACCUCAAGUGGUCAGGAUGAUUAUUGGGCCUAAAGCAUCCGUAGCCGGCUCUGUAAGUUUUCGGUUAAAUCUGUACGCUCAACGUACAGGCUGCCGGGAAUACUGCAGAGCUAGGGAGUGGGAGAGGUAGACGGUACUCGGUAGGAAGGGGUAAAAUCCUUUGAUCUAUUGAUGACCACCUGUGGCGAAGGCGGUCUACCAGAACACGUCCGACGGUGAGGGAUGAAAGCUGGGGGAGCAAACCGGAUUAGAUACCCGGGUAGUCCCAGCUGUAAACUAUGCAAACUCAGUGAUGCAUUGACUUGUGGUCGAUGCAGUGCUGCAGGGAAGCCGUUAAGUUUGCCGCCUGGGAAGUACGUACGCAAGUAUGAAACUUAAAGGAAUUGGCGGGGGAGCAC
This 420-nucleotide ribosomal RNA is filed under the name uncultured Nitrososphaerota archaeon. Its description in RNAcentral is "bacterial SSU rRNA". It matches the Rfam family "Archaeal small subunit ribosomal RNA", at positions 459 to 879 of the family's 1478-position model. The record is from RNAcentral. Lineage: Archaea; Thermoproteati; Nitrososphaerota.